GCCGCGGCAACGGGACGCGGAGCGUGGAGGAGGCGGUGGCGGGUCCGGCCCGGCCAUGUCGCGAAUCCUCUGCGAGUGGCUGAACGAGGAGGUGAAGCUCUCCCGGCGCGUCGUUCCAGGAUCAUUUCCAGAAGAAUUUUCUAAUGGCUACCUCCUAGGAGAACUUCUACACAAAUAUGGUCUUCAGGAUGACUUUAAACAAUUUUCACAGAGCAGGGUUGCAGAUGCAAAAGUUAACAAUUUUUCUCGCCUGGAACCUACACUUCACCUCCUUGGUGUGCCGUUUAAUGAGAGUGUGGCCCAAGACAUCAUGACAGGACAGCAUGGGGCUGCAACAAAGCUUUUAUAUGAAUUGUAUAUUGCUUUAGAAAAAAAGAGAAAGGCAAAGCACCCUGGAGUAGUCAUGGAAGCAAUAAGACCUGCCGCAACUACAAAUCUUAAGUCUAUUGAGAGUGUUUUGUAUCCGGAGCGUUUGAAAACUUUAGUGCCACGUCAGGCUGAUUUGCAGCUACAGCAGAUUUCGGAGCGUUUUGAAGCAAAAUCCAAGGCAGUAGCAGAUAAAAUAGCUCGUACACAUUUUGCAGAGCAGCAGAGAGCUCAGAAGCUCCGAGAAGAGCAAAGAGCUCAAGACAUUGAAAAGGAUCACAUAGGAAGAAGGAGACAAAGUGAAGUAGCGCACAGGAUUCAACCAGCUGUUUUAAAGGUUCCAAAGCCUCCACCGAGACCCAUCAUAAAAGCUAUUGAAGCUAAAAAAUUGUUAAAGAAAAGAGAAGCAGAGAAUGUAUACAAGGAAAUAGACAAGUUUGAGAAGUCUAUGACAGGAAAUGCCUUUGAAUUACACAGCCAGGUGACCGACAGUGAUAUGCAAGAAUCAUUGCAAACACAGAAAUUGCAAGAAACAACUCAAGAAACUAUUCAAGAAACUACAGCACAGACAAAAACUGAGCUGUUAGGUGUUUAUUCAGAUGGUGAAUAUAUAAGGAAAAUUCAAAAACGUGUAGAGGAAGAUACAUUUGCUAGAGAACAACGAGCAAAGAGACGACGAAAAAUGCUAAUGGAUCAGUUACUAGCACAUGAAUCUGAAGAGAAGGCUUACCGGGAGGAGCAGCUUGUUUACAGACUAAUGAAACAAUCUCAGCACGAGCGGAGGAUUGCUGCUCAACUCAUGCAUGUUCGACAUGAAAAAGAGGUGUUAAGGCAAAACAGAAUUUUUAGGGAAAAACAAUAUGAAGAAAGACGGCAAAAAGAGUUCCAGGAAGCUCUUGACAGAGAAGCGGCUCUUGCAAAACAAGAAAACAUUGAUAAUGAAGAACAAAUAAUGAAAGAGAGAGAACAACAUGAGAAAAUUGCUGCUGAAAGAGCUCAGGCCCGCUAUAAAAAACAUUAUUCUAUGUGUUGGGAAGUGAUGGGCCAAAUCAUUGAUAUGUCGACAAAAGUGGGAGAAUAUCGCCACAUGACAAAGAACCGAGUUCCAUUAAAACUGAUGCUGGAUUGGAAGGAAUUUUUUUUAAAUGGAAAACCAAUAUAUGAACAAGCCUCAAUUCAACCUUUGCCAAAUGAACCUGGCCCAGAACAACUUGUAGAGAUGAAUAAAAUGAGUCUGUUAGAUGAAAAAGAUUAUGGUGAAUACAAGAGUAUGACAGGGGAAUGGAGUCCAACUGAAGAGAACAGUGAAAACAAACCUCCUCCUAAUAAUAACAUAUUGGGUCAUGUGCUUCGUAGACUGAUGGAGUUGUUCUAUCCUCCACAACCCAAACCUUCACCACGUGUACUUACUUCAUUUCCUAUCAAGGGAUGUAUUUUGGGAAAAAUUUUUAGUGGAAAAACUACCUGUGCAAAGUUUAUUGAAAAAGUUUGCAAUAUUCAGGUACUAUCUGUCGAUACUCUGGUUUGGGAGGCCAUCCAGUCUUUUCUUAAAAAUGAAAUGAAAAGUGAACAUGAUAUAAUUCCACAUGAAAAGAGUUCUGGAGAACAAAAUAAGAACAGUCAAGAGGGUCUAUCCAAGCUGUCUGUACGUGCCCAGCUUGGCGCCGCAUCGCAGAAAUGGUUGAAGAAAGGAAAAAGUAUUCCCGAUGAACUACUAAUUGACCUCUUGUUGGAAGCCAUUAACCAAAUACCACCGGAGAAGGGGUGGUUUGUGGAAGGGUUUCCAAUGACAAUUAAUCAGGCAAAGCUAUUUGACAAAGCCUAUACAGGGAAUGAUCCAGAGGAAAAAGAUGCAAGUCCUGGAAGGCUCUCACUUGUUAUUGAUCCCAGAGCCCCUAACGAGCCUCCUGUUAUUUCACCUGCAUUUGAUGUUUCUGUAUUAUUGGAUAUUUCAGACACUGUGGUACUGAAACGUGCAGCUAACAUGAAGUUAGAUAAAUCAAAGUCAUCUGAAACUGAACAGGAGAACGGUGAUCAAAAUUCAGAUCCUGAAAUCCUAGAAGAGAAGAUUGACUUGGACAAGGACCAGGUCCUACAUAGAAUUUCAGGCUUUCUAGACACAUGGCCAAAAUUGGAGAAAUGGUUUUCAGUCCAUCAAAAUAUUCUAGUGAGUGUAAAUGCAGAGACAGAAGAAAGUCAUGUGUGUGAAACAGUGAAGGAAAUUAUAAUAGAAGAAAUUGCGAAAAAACAGAAUAGAAGGUCUACUCAAGAAAUAGCACCAGCAGAAGAAAAGCCUUUACCAGAUACGGAAGAAAAGCCUUUACCUGAUACCGAAGAAAAGCCUUUACCAGGUACCGAAGAAAAGCCUUUACCAGGUACAGAAGAAAAGCCUUUACCAUGUACAGAUGAUCUGCUUCCUCCCUCUCCUGAGACACCACCACCACCAGUAGAACCAGGAUCAGAUGAAUGGAUUUAUGUAGAUGAACCACUUCCCCAGGAGAUAAUUGAUUUUUUAGUACCUUACUGGGAAAUGAUAGAAAAUGCAUAUAUAAAUACCAUCAAAACUAUACUUAGAUGCCUAAGGGAUGAACAGUACACAAUGAUUCAUUACAUAGCAGAUAUUAGAGAAAAUUUCCAAGAUUAUUUGAAACGUCCAGAUCUUAAGCAGGAGUUUGUAUCUCAGUGGCAAAGAGACUUUAAUUCAAUUUCUGAUGACCUGCGAGAUGAUGAGGAAACAAAAGCUGAACUACACCAAAGAGUUACUGACCUAAGAGAUCUUCUCUGGGAUAUCUGUGACAGCAGAAGGGAAGAAGCAGAGCAGGAACGUGUUGAUAUCAUGAAUAAAGGCUGGUUGCCAGAUCACAGGGGAAUUGCAAUGAACCAUUUCUUUUCACUUAUGCAGGUUGAAGUGGAUCGUUUCCAAGAUACAAAGAGAAUUCUUCAUGACUACUAUAGGUCGAUGGAAGGAAAAAUCCCAACAGAAGACAGUAAAGAUUUUACUAGAAUCCCAUUGUUAGAUAUUUUUGAUGUAAAGCAGAAGGAAGAUGUAGAGCAGAAGGAAGAUGAAGACAAAUCAAGAAGGAUUCCUCUGGUUUCUUGGAAGCUGUUUUCACCAGAAAUUAAUACUGAGACAGAAAACAAUGAAACUCUGCAGGCAAGUCCUAACGUUGAGAAUUCUGCAAAUGGACGGGCUACUUACAGGAAUGAUAAAAGGCUUAUUAUUUAUACAUGGCAAAAAGCAGUAACAGCUGUAUCAAAUAUGGUAACAGCUGAAAUAGAGUUUAGAGAAAUGGAGGAUGAAGACCAGCAGCAGCAAAAACUGAAAGAAGAUCCGAAACGCUCAGGCAAAGCUGCUGGGAAAGAUGUCAGAAAGCCUUCUACCAAAUCACUUCCUAAGAAGAAAGGAUCACGGAAGAAAGUCAGUGUAAUUACUUUAGACCCAGAAGAAUUAAAGAAACAAGAACUGGCACUUAAAAUAAAACAAGAACAUCUGAGUGCCUUGAAACAUGAGGAGGCAGCCACAAAAUCUCGACUAGAACUUAUAAAAGAAAAAGCUUUAGCAUUUCUUGAAGACCUAAAAAUGAAAGCAGAAGAGGCUUACAGAGAUAUGGAAAAGUGGCUUGGAUCCACCUUCCUGGCAGAAAUGGCCAGUGUUGAAAAGUUGGUUGAGGCUGCACGAUAUCAUGUUGAGAGUUCUAGCAAAAUCCAAUAUGAAAUGACUUUAGAAGAAACAGAUUUCUUCAUCAAUGGUGAUGUAAAAAUGUUUCCUGACCCUGUUCCUGACCCUGUUCCUACACUAGAAGUUCCACGCAUAAAAACCUCUAGAAGUACUCUAACUAUUUCACAACUUACUAAGCUUCAUAAGCAGUUUCUACAGGUGGCACCUAAAGCCAUAAGAGCACUGAAGCAAUUCAAAAGCAAGAGUAAUUCUUCUAGCAAGAGAGAAGUUGAUGAUGGAGGGAAAGAGAAGAAAGAUUUGGAACAUCAGAAAAGAAAGAGAAAUCGUCAAUUUCCAAAAAUAUGGCUAACAAAAUACUCCUGGUUAAAAUAUGAUGAUGAAAGGGGAAUAAUGUUUUGUGUACCGUGUCGUAAACAUAAUGUGGAUUUGGGGGAAAACAUUCAUAAUUUUUGUUCUGGCACUGAUGAUUUCAAACUUGAAUUUAUAAACACACACCAGAGUAGUGAAGCUCAUGCCUGGGCUACCUGCAUGGAAGCUGCCAGUACUGCUUCACCAGACACAGCUUCUGCUGAGCAGGUGUUGAAGAGCAUGAACUCCUUAACAUUAGGGAGAGUAGAAAAUAUUUUUAGAACAUACCAUGCUAUGGCUAAAUCUGGUUCUCCCCUUGUAGAUCUUGAUGAAAUUUACAAACCAGAUAAGCUUUAACAUGACCCUUCACAGUUUUUCUCAGACUUAUCCUUCUGAAGACUUCUCUACAGAGGCAGAACAGAUCCAUUGCUGAUUCUUAAUUGGACAAAUCAGUCUUCCCAUAACAAGUACUCUUACAGCCAGGAUAUGACCAAUAUACUUCACAGCUUGAACCACUUUUCUUUCUCCCCUGUAAAAAUAUUUUUGAAAGUUGUAAUAAGAAUGCUUUAUCUUGAUUUUUUGUCUAGGAGCUGAGAAUAAGUAUAGUUCAGAGAAGUAUCUGAUUUCAUAUUUUCAUAAUUCUACAUAUUCUAAAUGCAACUUUCUACUUGAUAAUUUCCAAUCAAGGUAAAGCAUACCAGCAGAAUAUAUUUUUACCAUCAAAGAAAUAGCAAUGAUUCGUAUCAAAAGAUAGCUAAAAUUAAAUCAUUAAUGACCCCUCUUGCUUCUUCCAACAGUAAUGAAGAUGUACUAGAGAUAAUUUGGGAGAAAUGAAUGUGAGAUCAUUCACCUUUAAAUCAACCCAUUUUCUGAAUCCAGAUCAACUCUUUACUUUUGGAGUAAAAUGUGUGUAAUAAUAGCAGAAACUGCACAAUACAGUUCCAUACCAUACUAUAUCGUGUAACUCUACCCUAUAUACACACACAUAUACACACACAUAUAUAUAUAUUUUUGGUGUUUUGCAUAUAUCUAGGUCUAAACAGUUUGUCAGAAAUGGAGUAAGUUUUGAAUGAGUGCCUCCUGAAGGGAUUUUAGUCCAGAGUUAGUCUGUAGGGUCAGAAAAAGGAUCAGUACUGUGCACUAUACAGUGGAUUAUAGAAGAUCCAUCACUGAAAUAUGUUAAUCUGUGAUUUCUCAGACCAAAAAAAAAAAAAAAGAAGUUUAGAUAUAUUUUACCUAAGAAGCAACAGGAUAUAUAUUAUACAAGGUACCUUUUUACAUAUGUGGCAUUGCUGAUGCUAAGGGUUUGCUCUUAAAUCACAUAAUGCCAAGAGGAUUUUUUCCCCUCUUUAGUUUUCAAAUGGGAAAUUUUUAACUAUGUUGAGAUUAGAAAAAUAUGUUGAAAGUGUGUUCCCAGAAUGUCCAGCAGCUGAAGACAAAAAAAAAGAAAUAAAAACUGAAAGUAUAUUUAGAAUCUAUAAUGCUGAAAUCACUUCCAUGAUGCAGGGGGGCAUGUUUUCUCAUAAUCUUCCUUUCAUCCAUGAAACUAGGAGAAUUCCUUCAACCUUGCCUCUCAGGACAUGUUUUCUAAGCCUGUGAUGAUUCUUGCUGCUUUCUUCUGGGCAGUCUUUAGUUUAUGUACAUCCUUCUAGAUCUGCAAAUUCCAAAAUUGUAUACUAGCAGAAGCUUUAACAGCUGGGAGAAAAAAAAAAAGAAUUAUUUCCAAUGUCUUUAUGUGUACUUUCUGGUAAUAUUGUGAUCUGCGGUAGUCCCUAGAUACUUUUCUAUACAAAUUUUACUUUAUCAGUAAGAUUCCCAUUGUGCCGUUUAUGCAGUUCAUUGUUUCAGCCCAGUGGGACACUUGACAUUAAUCCUUAUUGGAUAGUGUCCUUUUAUUCUAGACUGUAUCUCCAAUAUGUAAAGCUCACUUUGAAUUCUAAUCCUAUUCUCCAGUGUGCUUAAAAUUCCUUCCUGAAUUGUUUUCUCUGUAAUGUAAUAAAUGCAUCAGUUUGUCAGUCUGUUUCCUCAAAGUACUUUGAUCUGUUUCUGGUGAAAUUUACUUACUGAUCUUGAUCAUCUCUCGAGUUUUUCAAAAUCUUCAUGAAUACUGUUUCUUUUUCCACAGUGCUUUCUACCUCUUCUAAUUAAAAAUGUUUCUGGACAUUUAAUAAUUUAAUUCUCUAUUUAUUCUCCUACAUUAUUCAACUAAAACUUACUGGGUUUGGUUUCUUUUAUUUUGGACUUAGCAAAAAGAUUUUAUAAAGAGCAUACCUGUUUUGAAACGAGUCCUGUUACGUGGACAAAGGCAAUUCUGGGAAUUGUUUUCCUUGUUCUUUCCUAGAAGACAUUAUUUACUUUUACCACUUACAGAGUGCCAUUUGCAGACACCGGUAUUCUUUUCUCGGUACCAUCUGUGUAGCUGCCCACUCUCAGCAUCUCUCUGUGAUUACAAAGCAUUAGCAGCUCUUGAACUAAAAUGGUGAAUCACCUUUUGUCUCGGAUUAUAAUCAGAUAUUCAAAAAUGAUUCCGUGCUCUGUAAUAUAUACCCAAAAACAUUAAACCUAGACAAAAUACCUGAAAACACAAUGAGGAAAGUAUUUCUUAUCUUUUUUUACAUGUUUAUGAGGCAUUUCCUCUGUCUCUCUGAGACUUCCUCAUCAUUCCUCCUACAUAUGUCAGUAGGAGGAAUUAAAUCACAGUCCAUUUGAAAUUUUUGAACUAUUAUAACUUUGGAAUUAUCCCACAUCAGAUGUUUCAGGAGGAGGUAAUAAAGUAAAAGAAAUUGCCUUACAGCACGUCAGCAAUUCUGUAAUUAAUAGAUAGAAAAUCACUUAGCUCUGACUGAAAGAGGAUGUGUUUCUUCACAUUUACCACACAGGAAGAAAAGUGGGUAGAUACUGCAGAUCACCUGGCAGAGCUUAAAUAUCUCACAGUAAUUCAUGUUUGCCAGAAUAUUUACCUGAAAACUGCAUUCUAGCAUUUUCUAUUCCAAUCUAAGUUCUGUGAUUGUGAGUAACAUUUUAGAUUGCAAUCCCAUUUCGGACAUUAGUUUUGAUGCAAGUUCUUAAAAUUCCUUGUCCCUCAAAUACCUUUUACAUAUGUUUCUAAAGUCCUGUAGCCUCAUAAAAAAAUUAGAUGAGGAUCUUAGUAUCCUUUUAGAAUUUUAUGCAGAAAAACAAAAUUCAAUUUCAUUUCAGGAAACCAUAAGCUCAUAGGAAAUACAGGAGCUACAUUCUUUAUUGUCAUAGAGGGAAAUCAUAUUAGGAGUUGAACUGUUUUAAACAUAAAAUAAUGUGAGAAAAGUUAGAUUGCCAGUGAUCAGAUGUGGAAAGGCAAAUUUCAGCAAAAAAUGCAAUAAAAAUUAUCAUAGCUGCUCUCUUCAUGGUAAAGCACUAGGAAAAAAUGAGACUGAAAGAAGAUGUAAAACUUUUUCCUGUUGUUUUUUAUAUGAAGUGUACACUGGCUCCUUCAUGGACCAUAGACUAUUCUCCCCAUGAACCACUAAAAUGUUAUGUGGUUUACUGAAUUACUUAUGAAGUCACCCUGUAAUGAUGCCUUUGUUAUGCAGGCUUUAUUGUGCCAUAUGGAAAUUAUCUGAUUCUUGUAGCAUGAAGUUUUCAUCAGAAAACAAAUUUCUGGUUACCUUAAAAUUAUUACAUCAGCAAUCCAGAGUGCUUCAGUAAACAGCAAAGGGUUUAUCACAUGGUUUUUUAGAUAUUCUUUCUCAAUGUCAAUAACUCAAAAACUUUCACAAGGUGACAUCAGAGCACUGUUACCAGUCUGCCAGUAUUUUUUCCCCAGCUUUUGCUUUCAUGCUGAAAUUUCUGGUAGGAUAUAUGGCUUCAAGUCCUUCCUUCUUCCUCUCCCAACAGAAUUUACGCUUCCCAAGUAUGUUUUUUGCCUCUUCUCUCCAAACUUAUAUAUGUGUAGGAUUCCUCUGCUGUACUAAGAUGUGCUGAGGGCAUUAAUCCUGUGUUUCCUGAUUGGACAUAAACAGAGACUGUAGACUAUCAAUUCAAAUUGGCUACUGGAUUUUGAAUACUGACAUUAUGAAACUAAUAUUCAAACAUUCUUAAUUUUUCUACCACUUACAUCUUUUUUCAUAAAGUUACAUUUCACUCCACUGUUUUGCUUCCAACAAAAAUGUCUCUUAGCCCUAAAAUGUGCACAGCUGUGCUUUUUCAAAAGGACAAGACUUUCGACUGGAAAAAGAAAAAAAAUAAGUUCUAUACGAAAGAAAGAAUUUAUUGACAUUUUUAGUCGCUUGGUUAA
RNA transcript from Neopelma chrysocephalum (saffron-crested tyrant-manakin), 8666 nucleotides. It is a transcript of the gene named sperm flagellar 2, with no coding region annotated. The transcript has 29 exons. NCBI's taxonomy places the organism in Eukaryota, Metazoa, Chordata, Aves, Passeriformes, Pipridae. The record is from RefSeq and is a predicted model, not a curated record.